UGGGGAAUUUUGGACAAUGGGCGCAAGCCUGAUCCAGCCAUGCCGCGUGCGGGAAGAAGGCCUUCGGGUUGUAAACCGCUUUUGUCAGGGAAGAAAUCUUCUGAGUUAAUACCUCGGGGAGGAUGACGGUACCUGAAGAAUAAGCACCGGCUAACUACGCGCCAGCAGCCGCGGUAAUACGUAGGGUGCAAGCGUUAAUCGGAAUACUGGGCGUAAAGCGUGCGCAGGCGGUUUUGUAAGACAGAGGUGAAAUCCCCGGGCUCAACCUGGGAACUGCCUUUGUGACUGCAAGGCUUGAGUGCGGCAGAGGGGGGAUGGAAUUCCGCGUGUAGCAGUGAAAUGCGUAGAUAUGCGGAGGAACACCGAUGGCGAAGGCAAUCCCCUGGGGCCUGCACUGACGCUCAUGCACGAAAGCGUGGGGAGCAAACAGGAUUAGAUACCCUGGUAGUCCACGCCCUAAACGAUGUCAACUGGUUGUU
RNAcentral lists this ribosomal RNA (479 nucleotides) under uncultured bacterium. Its description in RNAcentral is "partial 16S ribosomal RNA". It matches the Rfam family "Bacterial small subunit ribosomal RNA", at positions 355 to 824 of the family's 1533-position model. The record is from RNAcentral.